Molecule: long non-coding RNA, 361 nt
Filed under: Ornithorhynchus anatinus (platypus)
Lineage: Eukaryota; Metazoa; Chordata; Mammalia; Monotremata; Ornithorhynchidae
Description: lncRNA (ENSOANG00000039722.1)
Source: RNAcentral
GGGAGAAGUGGUAACUGUUCAAAAUGGAAUAAUUUGAGAGGAAUUUUCGAGGAGAAAUCUUCACAAAGCAACUCCAACACUACAGGUUUGAAACAAUUUCACUAUAGUAUCAACUUUUACAUUUUCUUUCAUCAUGGGAAAAAGAUCACUACAAUAAACUUGCAAGAACACCAUAUAGUGUACAUUAAGACAGCCCAGCUGGAAGAAAGCAGUGUAAACAAAUGGAAAAUAUGAGAGAUGGUGUAUGUGUACUCGAAAGACAGGAAAGAAAAGGCCAAACUUUCCACCUCGAAAUAAUGCCCUUCAUAAUUAAAACUGGAUUUUAGCCUACACUACUGGGCACAGUGGGAGACAGAAAGGU